RNAcentral lists this long non-coding RNA (250 nucleotides) under Elaeis guineensis (African oil palm). RNAcentral describes it as "long non-coding RNA (EGUI_LNC036580)". Lineage: Eukaryota; Viridiplantae; Streptophyta; Magnoliopsida; Arecales; Arecaceae. The record is from RNAcentral.
CUUCCUCCAACUCAAGCUUAAUUAUGUGAAGCUUUUAAAUAUAAAAAUUUAAAAUAAAUAAAAAUUUAUUAAUAUUGAUUGACUUAUCUGUUGUUAUAGCUGUGACAAUAAGCUCAGCUAAUCGUGCAGAUGUGGAUCCUGAAGAAUCUCAACCAUCAAGUUGUAGACGGCAUCCCAGAAGUUCUAAUGUCACUAGAAAAAAGUCUUUGCACGACCUCCUUGACACGUGCAUCACCCCAUGUCUGGGUCG